AUACAUACCUGGACGGGGUCAAUGGGUGAUCAAUAAGGCCCAUGACCUAGACGAGUGACUUCCAUUGCACUUAGGAGGGUUGCUUGUCUAAGGCUCACCCAAGUGGUGGAGACCUACGUCAUAAUUUGUGAUAGUGGGGCCUGUGUUCGCGUGGCCCCUUU
This is a small nuclear RNA of Medicago truncatula (barrel medic), 161 nucleotides long. It matches the Rfam family "U1 spliceosomal RNA". From Rfam's summary of the family: U1 is a small nuclear RNA (snRNA) component of the spliceosome (involved in pre-mRNA splicing). Its 5' end forms complementary base pairs with the 5' splice junction, thus defining the 5' donor site of an intron. NCBI's taxonomy places the organism in Eukaryota, Viridiplantae, Streptophyta, Magnoliopsida, Fabales, Fabaceae. The record is from Rfam.